RNAcentral lists this ribosomal RNA (853 nucleotides) under uncultured Haemophilus sp. Its description in RNAcentral is "bacterial SSU rRNA". It matches the Rfam family "Bacterial small subunit ribosomal RNA". The record is from RNAcentral. Lineage: Bacteria; Pseudomonadati; Pseudomonadota; Gammaproteobacteria; Pasteurellales; Pasteurellaceae.
AUUGAACGCUGGCGGCAUGCCUUACACAUGCAAGUCGAACGGCAGCACGGGAGCAAUCCUGGUGGCGAGUGGCGAACGGGUGAGUAAUACAUCGGAACGUGCCCAAUCGUGGGGGAUAACGCAGCGAAAGCUGUGCUAAUACCGCAUACGAUCUACGGAUGAAAGCAGGGGAUCGCAAGACCUUGCGCGAAUGGAGCGGCCGAUGGCAGAUUAGGUAGUUGGUGAGGUAAAGGCUCACCAAGCCGUCUAUCUGUAGCUGGUCUGACAGGACGACCGGCCACACUGGGACUGAGACACGGCCCUGACUCCUACGGGAGGCAGCAGUGUGUAAUUUUGGACCAUGUUCGAUACGCCUGAUACAGCCAUGCCACGUGCAGGAUGAUCGCCUUCGCGUUGUAAACUGCUGAUGUACGGUACGACACUUGCCUUUUCAAAUCAAGAGGGCUAAUGACGGAACCGUAAGAAUAAGCACUCGGCUAACUACGUGGCAGGAGCCGCGGUAAUACAUAGGGUGCAAGCGUUGAUCGGAAUAUACUGUUCCUCAAACGUGCGCAGUCGUUAUGUAAGACAGUUGUUAAAUCCCCGGGCUGAGCCUUGCGAGCUGUAUUUGUGACAGCAUAUCUAGAGUAUCGGAAGAAGGUUGAUGGAUUUUUCCUCGCAAAUGAAAUGGUUCGAUGUGUAGAAGAAGCUCCUCGGCACAGCAAUCCCCGUGGACUGGGAUGGAGGGUCUAGAGUGCAGGGUGUGGGGAGGAAGCGGACAGAUAUAUAUCAGCCCCUGCAAUACGCGCUGCGCGGGGGGUAUCUCGGGUCUCCAUAUCGGGGAAUUGCCGCUUGGAAUCUCUUGCCCUCAUAU